GCCCAUAACCAAGCCAUCCUAGAAUGUGCUCGAUCUCAACAGAUCUUCAAAGCUAAGGCAGGGUUGAGCCUGGAUUGUGCUUGGAUGGGUGACCACUGCACAAGGUUGUCAUUGGGG
This 117-nucleotide ribosomal RNA is filed under the name Petromyzon marinus (sea lamprey). The record is from RNAcentral. Lineage: Eukaryota; Metazoa; Chordata; Hyperoartia; Petromyzontiformes; Petromyzontidae.